UACGUAGGGGGCAAGCGUUGUCCGGAAUCAUUGGGCGUAAAGCGCGUGUAGGCGGCUCGAUAAGUCUGCUGUGAAAGUUCAGGGCUCGACCCUGAAAUGCCGGUGGAAACUGUCGAGCUAGAGUCCGGAAGAGGCGAGUGGAAUUCCUGGUGUAGCGGUGAAAUGCGCAGAUAUCAGGAGGAACACCAAUGGCGAAGGCAGGUCUCUGGGCCACUACUGACGCUGAGAAGCGAAAGCAUGGGGAGCAAACAGG
RNAcentral lists this ribosomal RNA (253 nucleotides) under uncultured bacterium. RNAcentral describes it as "partial 16S ribosomal RNA". It matches the Rfam family "Bacterial small subunit ribosomal RNA", at positions 524 to 776 of the family's 1533-position model. The record is from RNAcentral.